AUACGGAGGGUGCAAGCGUUACUCGGAAUCACUGGGCGUAAAGCGCGCGCAGGCGGCUAUUUAAGUUGGAUGUGAAAGCCUACGGCUCAACCGUAGAACUGCAUCCAAAACUAUUUAGCUAGAGUGUGGGAGAGGAAGAUGGAAUUAGUCGUGUAGGGGUAAAAUCCGUAGAGAUAACUAGGAAUACCAAAAGCGAAGGCAAUCUUCUGGAACACUACUGACGCUGAGGCGCGAAAGCGUGGGGAGCAAACAGGAUUAGAAACCCCAGUAGUCC
RNAcentral lists this ribosomal RNA (274 nucleotides) under uncultured bacterium. Its description in RNAcentral is "partial 16S ribosomal RNA". It matches the Rfam family "Bacterial small subunit ribosomal RNA", at positions 523 to 796 of the family's 1533-position model. The record is from RNAcentral.